GCGUGAACGAAGAAGUCCUUCGGGAUGUAAAGUUCUUUUAAAUGGGAAGAAGACAGUGACGGUACCAAUUGAAUAAGCCCCGGCUAACUACGUGCCAGCAGCCGCGGUAAGACGUAGGGGGCAAGCGUUACCCGGAAUCACUGGGCGUAAAGGGAGCGUAGGCGGUUAUGCAGGUCAUACGUUAAAGCAUUCGGCUCAACCGAAGAGAUGCGUAUGAAACCGUAUAACUUGAGGAUAUCAGAGGAAAAGGGAAUUACCAUUGUAGGGGUGAAAUCCGUAGAGAGUGGUAAGAAUGCCGGUGGCGAAGGCGCUUUUCCGGGGUAUACCUGACGCUGAGGCUCGAAAGCCAGGGGAGCGAACCGGAUUAGAUACCCGGGUAGUCCUGGCCGUAAACGAUGUUCACUAGGUGUAGGAUGUCGACAGGCAAACUGUGCUGAAGCAAACGCGAUAAGUGAACCGCCUGGGGAGUACGUCCGCAAGGAUGAAACUCAAAGGAAUUGACGGGGGCCCGCACAAGCGGUGGAGCGUGUGGUUUAAUUCGAAGCUAAGCGAAGAACCUCACCAGGUCUUGACAUAUAGGUGGUAGGGAAGCGAAAGCGGACCGACUUUGGUUUACCAAAGAGCCUAUACAGGUGGUGCAUGGUCGUCGUCAGCUCGUGCCGUGAGGUGUUGGGUUAAGUCCCGCAACGAGCGCAACCCU
Molecule: ribosomal RNA, 700 nt
Filed under: uncultured bacterium
Lineage: Bacteria
Description: bacterial SSU rRNA
Rfam family: Bacterial small subunit ribosomal RNA
Source: RNAcentral